This 472-nucleotide ribosomal RNA is filed under the name uncultured bacterium. RNAcentral's name for it is "bacterial SSU rRNA". It matches the Rfam family "Bacterial small subunit ribosomal RNA", at positions 355 to 825 of the family's 1533-position model. The record is from RNAcentral.
UGGGGAAUUUUGGACAAUGGGGGCAACCCUGAUCCAGCAAUGCCGCGUGAGUGAAGAAGGCCUUCGGGUUGUAAAGCUCUUUUGUCAGGGAAGAAACGGUAGUAGCGAAUAACUAUUACUAAUGACGGUACCUGAAGAAUAAGCACCGGCUAACUACGUGCCAGCAGCCGCGGUAAUACGUAGGGUGCAAGCGUUAAUCGGAAUUACUGGGCGUAAAGCGUGCGCAGGCGGUUGUGUAAGUCAGAUGUGAAAUCCCCGGGCUCAACCUGGGAAUUGCAUUUGAGACUGCACGGCUAGAGUGUGUCAGAGGGGGGUAGAAUUCCACGUGUAGCAGUGAAAUGCGUAGAUAUGUGGAGGAAUACCGAUGGCGAAGGCAGCCCCCUGGGACAACACUGACGCUCAUGCACGAAAGCGUGGGGAGCAAACAGGAUUAGAUACCCAAGUAGUCCCUGAGCGGGCUGGCAAGGCGCAU